GGGGUUGUAGCUCAAUUCGGUUAGAGCGCCGGCCUGUCACGCCGGAGGUCGCGGGUUCAAGUCCCGUCAGCCCCGCCA
This 78-nucleotide transfer RNA is filed under the name Aminomonas paucivorans DSM 12260. Its description in RNAcentral is "tRNA-Asp". It matches the Rfam family "tRNA". Rfam says of the family: Transfer RNA (tRNA) molecules are approximately 80 nucleotides in length. The record is from RNAcentral. Lineage: Bacteria; Thermotogati; Synergistota; Synergistia; Synergistales; Synergistaceae.